RNAcentral lists this ribosomal RNA (447 nucleotides) under uncultured bacterium. RNAcentral's name for it is "bacterial SSU rRNA". It matches the Rfam family "Bacterial small subunit ribosomal RNA", at positions 355 to 825 of the family's 1533-position model. The record is from RNAcentral.
UCGGGAAUUUUGGGCAAUGGGCGAAAGCCUGACCCAGCAACGCCGCGUGAAGGAUGAAGUAUUUCGGUAUGUAAACUUCGAAAGAAUAGGAAGAAUAAAUGACGGUACUAUUUAUAAGGUCCGGCUAACUACGUGCCAGCAGCCGCGGUAAUACGUAGGGACCAAGCGUUGUUCGGAUUUACUGGGCGUAAAGGGCGCGUAGGCGGCAUGACGAGUCACUUGUGAAAUCUCUGGGCUUAACCCAGAACGGCCAAGUGAUACUGUCGCGCUAGAGUGCAGAAGGGGCAAUCGGAAUUCUUGGUGUAGCGGUGAAAUGCGUAGAUAUCAAGAGGAACACCUGAGGUGAAGACGGGUUGCUGGGCUGACACUGACGCUGAGGCGCGAAAGCCAGGGGAGCAAACGGGAUUACAUACCCCAGUAGUCCCUGAGCGGGCUGGCAAGGCGCAU